GACGAACGCUGGCGGCGUGCUUAACACAUGCAAGUCGAACGGAAAGGCCCUGCUUUUGUGGGGUGCUCGAGUGGCGAACGGGUGAGUAACACGUGAGUAACCUGCCCUUGACUUUGGGAUAACUUCAGGAAACUGGGGCUAAUACCGGAUAGGAGCUCCUGCUGCAUGGUGGGGGUUGGAAAGUUUCGGCGGUUGGGGAUGGACUCGCGGCUUAUCAGCUUGUUGGUGGGGCAGCGGCUUACCAAGGCUUUGACGGGUAGCCGGCCUGAGAGGGUGACCGGCCACAUUGGGACUGAGAUACGGCCCAGACUCCUACGGGAGGCAGCAGUGGGGAAUAUUGCACAAUGGGCGGAAGCCUGAUGCAGCAACGCCGCGUGCGGGAUGACGGCCUUCGGGUUGUAAACCGCUUUCGCCUGUGACGAAGCGUGAGUGACGGUAAUGGGUAAAGAAGCACCGGCUAACUACGUG
RNAcentral lists this ribosomal RNA (468 nucleotides) under uncultured bacterium. Its description in RNAcentral is "partial 16S ribosomal RNA". It matches the Rfam family "Bacterial small subunit ribosomal RNA", at positions 28 to 507 of the family's 1533-position model. The record is from RNAcentral.